AGCGAACGCUGGCGGCAGGCCUAACACAUGCAAGUCGAACGAACCUAUCGGGGUUAGUGGCGGACGGGUGAGUAACACGUGGGAACGUGCCUUUAGGUUCGGAAUAACUCAGGGAAACUUGUGCUAAUACCGAAUGUGCCCUUCGGGGGAAAGAUUUAUCGCCUUUAGAGCGGCCCGCGUCUGAUUAGCUAGUUGGUUGAGGUAAUGGCUCACCAAGGCGACGAUCAGUAGCUGGUCUGAGAGGAUGAUCAGCCACAUUGGGACUGAGACACGGCCCAAACUCCUACGGGAGGCAGCAGUGGGGAAUCUUGCGCAAUGGGCGAAAGCCUGACGCAGCCAUGCCGCGUGAAUGAUGAAGGUCUUAGGAUUGUAAAAUUCUUUCACCGGGGACGAUAAUGACGGUACCCGGAGAAGAAGCCCCGGCUAACUUCGUG
RNAcentral lists this ribosomal RNA (434 nucleotides) under uncultured bacterium. RNAcentral describes it as "partial 16S ribosomal RNA". It matches the Rfam family "Bacterial small subunit ribosomal RNA", at positions 29 to 507 of the family's 1533-position model. The record is from RNAcentral.